AAGCAUGCAUUGGUCACAACAAAAGAUGAAUAACUAGAAUUCUGUGUCUGAAACAUGUCUGAAUCUCACUUCGAGACUUGUCUAAAUCUCACCUGGAUGUCUGAGGCUCCAACCUGCAUAGGUUAGUUUGUGCCCUCUGCUGCCAGACAGUCGACCCAGCCUGCUGCUAGUGUGUACUGGGUACAGGGGCUGUGCACCCAGGCUACUGGAGGCCCUGCAGGAAGUGAGACAGACCAUGUGUGACCUGCAGGGGGAGAGGGACGUGUUGGAGGUGGUUCCCAUGCAACAGUUACUGGGAGAUGGGAGAUUCCAGCACUUCCUGAAGGCAGCUAAUGAGACAGUUCUACAUAGGAGCCUAGCAACGGUCGUCAUGUGGGAGAAACAGCUUCUACAGAACUG
Branchiostoma belcheri (Belcher's lancelet) is the source of this 399-nucleotide long non-coding RNA. RefSeq lists it as uncharacterized. The record is from RefSeq and is a predicted model, not a curated record. The transcript has 4 exons. Lineage: Eukaryota; Metazoa; Chordata; Leptocardii; Amphioxiformes; Branchiostomatidae.